This 492-nucleotide ribosomal RNA is filed under the name uncultured bacterium. Its description in RNAcentral is "partial 16S ribosomal RNA". It matches the Rfam family "Bacterial small subunit ribosomal RNA", at positions 29 to 507 of the family's 1533-position model. The record is from RNAcentral.
AGUGAACGCUGGCGGUAGGCCUAACACAUGCAAGUCGAACGGCAGCACAGUAAGCGCUUGCUCUUACGGGUGGCGAGUGGCGGACGGGUGAGGAAUACAUCGGAAUCUACUUUUUCGUGGGGGAUAACGUAGGGAAACUUACGCUAAUACCGCAUACGACCUACGGGUGAAAGCAGGGGAUCUUCGGACCUUGCGCGAUUGAAUGAGCCGAUGUCGGAUUAGCUAGUUGGCGGGGUAAAGGCCCACCAAGGCGACGAUCCGUAGCUGGUCUGAGAGGAUGAUCGGCCACACUGGAACUGAGACACGGUCCAGACUCCUACGGGAGGCAGCAGUGGGGAAUAUUGGACAAUGGGCGAAAGCCUGAUCCAGCCAUGCCGCGUGGGUGAAGAAGGCCUUCGGGUUGUAAAGCCCUUUUGUUGGGAAAGAAAAGCAGCAGGUUAAUACCCCGCUGUUCUGACGGUACCCAAAGAAUAAGCACCGGCUAACUUCGUG